This 253-nucleotide ribosomal RNA is filed under the name uncultured bacterium. RNAcentral's name for it is "partial 16S ribosomal RNA". It matches the Rfam family "Bacterial small subunit ribosomal RNA", at positions 524 to 776 of the family's 1533-position model. The record is from RNAcentral.
UGCGUAGGUGCCAAGCGUCGUCCGGAUUUACUGGGCGUAAAGGAUGCGUAGGCGGACAUUUAAGUCAGAUGUGAAAUACCCGAGCUUAACUUGGGUGCUGCAUUUGAAACUGGGUGUCUAGAGUGCAGGAGAGGUAAGUGGAAGUCCUAGUGUAGCGGUGAAAUGAGUAGAGAUUAGGAAGAACCCCAGUGGCGAAGGCGACUUACUGGACUGUAACUGACGCUGAGGCAUGAAAGCGUGGGGAGCAAACAGG